Molecule: long non-coding RNA, 1656 nt
Organism: Papaver somniferum (opium poppy)
Lineage: Eukaryota; Viridiplantae; Streptophyta; Magnoliopsida; Ranunculales; Papaveraceae
Exons: 12
Source: RefSeq, a predicted model, not a curated record
UCCACAAACUCGUUUACUCUCUCUCCUUAUCUUCUAUUCUCCAUUACAUCUUCAUCUAGAUCUGCAGAAAUAGCUCGUCUUCCAUUAAAACUCGUCUUCCAUUAAAACUCUACUGCCGAUGAUACUCUACCAAGUACAGCUUCAGUUGUCUGGAAGCACCAUUAUGAGAAAUUUUUCUAAGCGUAAUUAACUUAGGGUAUCAUAGAACGCAUUUGUGAUUAUGAGGACUUGGUUGUCUUGAUUCAACUGAAUUAGGUUGUCUUGUGAAUUGAAUUUAGAUUGUGUUGUAAACUGAAUCCAGGUUUUAAUGAAGAAUUGAUGUUCCCUGAAGAAUUAUGAUUGUAUUCCCGAUUUUGUUUUGAAAUGUAAACUGAAACAUCUAUUUUGCCAAGGUUGUAAGUUCAACUUGUUAGUGCUGUUAAAUCAGAUUUUAAGCUUGAUGUAAACUAAAUAUAAAGAUGUUGGAUGUAGGUGGCUGGUGUUGUUGGUAAAUGAACUGCUCUUUUAAGUCAAUUUACAAAGGAAAAACAAGGAUUGUGGUUUACAAAAACUAUGAUGAGAUGAAGUAUGUUGUAAGUACAGGAUCAAAUGCUUACAUCUCUAAUCCAUUAGCAGAAAUGUCAGAUGAAGACCUUAUGUAAGCUUUUUGAGACUGGUGUUUCGUAACUGGAAUGCAGUGUGUCAUAUAAGAUGAGACAGUUUCCUUUUGCAAUGAAGUCGUAGCGCCGAAUACUCUUGGUUUAUUGAUAUGUUGUAGAUAGGCGAUGAAGUUGAUGCUCAAUUAGACUCGAGGAGGUCAACAUUGAUGGAGCUAGUUCAGAUGGAAUGCCAACUCCAAGCCGGGGAUGGUUACAACUGAUCUUCUUAUGUCUGGGGCCAUGAUGAAGCAGGCUAAGUUUUUCAUUAACAUCCUGGAAGAACCAGCUGAAGUGAAUGCAGCGUACAUACCAUAAGAUACCACAGUUGAUACUUAAAUCAUACACUGGUCAUCCACUCAAAUUCUGAUACUUGGAUGUUGUGUGCAUUUAUUUCAUUUUGUUGGCUUAGUCUGGUGGUGGACGGAAUUAGGUUACAAAAUGUUCUGUUCCCAACAUCAGAUCCAUCCCUACCUACGAAGCACACUUAUAUUCGUUUCCUCACUGGGUUGAAAGCAUACUCCCAGAUAUCUCAGUUGGAUGUUGGAGAUGGCAAAGAAGCAAGUCUCGAAAGGUACCCAAGGAGCACACAUCAACCUCAGUGCAUCGAAUAUAUUGGACUGGGAGAGUUUAAUUCUAAUGGGAUGUCUCUGGUUCUUUGUUGGCUUCUUGCUUCGACGAUGGAAUAUUGCAGUAGAAUCUGCAGUUAAAAUUCUUGAAUGGACACAAUCAAUAUCCAUCAAUGGAAGUUAGAUAUUGAAUCAGUUUUUCGAACAACAUAAGAUGAUGCUUGUCCUGCCAUUGAUGAAAAGCAUUCUGUUAAGUUCCGGCUUUGCAUUCGAUGAGCUUGGUCUUCUAAAAUGGAUUCAGGUUAAAUAUUGUAUCAAUAUGUUGUCAUCUUUGUAUGAUUAUUCUUUGGGUCAUGAUAAACAAGGACCACUAUCCAUGUAUAUAUAUCUCAAGAUAGAACAUUGUACGUCUCUAACUGUGAUACUUGAAGUUCACAUUGUGAUUUUUUUUU